This 458-nucleotide ribosomal RNA is filed under the name uncultured bacterium. Its description in RNAcentral is "partial 16S ribosomal RNA". It matches the Rfam family "Bacterial small subunit ribosomal RNA", at positions 29 to 507 of the family's 1533-position model. The record is from RNAcentral.
AACGAACGCUGGCGGCAUGCCUAACACAUGCAAGUCGAACGAGACCUUCGGGUCUAGUGGCGCACGGGUGCGUAACGCGUGGGAACCUGCAUUUAGGUUCGGAAUAACUAAGAGAAAUUUGAGCUAAUACCGGAUGAUGUCUUCGGACCAAAGAUUUAUCGCCUUUCGAUGGGCAAGGGUUGGAUUAGCUAGUUGGUGGGGUAAAGGCUUACCACGGCGACGAUGCAUAGCUGGUCUCAGAGGGUGAUCAGCCACCCUGGGACUGAGAAACGGCCCCGACACUUAGACUAGGACGCGGCCGAGACUCCUACGGGAGGGAGCAGAGCCUAACAGUGCACCACGGGGGAAAUCAUGAUCCACCUCUGACCGGUGAGUGAUGUAGUCAGUGAGGUUGUAAUGCUCUUUUACCCGUGAUGAUAUUGACAGUACCGGGUGAGUAAGCCACGGCUAACUCCGUG